AUUGAACGCUGGCGGCAGGCCUAACACAUGCAAGUCGAACGAGUGGCGGACGGGUGAGUAAUGUCUGGGAAACUGCCUGAUGGAGGGGGAUAACUACUGGAAACGGUAGCUAAUACCGCAUACCAUCGGAUGUGCCCACAUGGGAUUAGCUAGUAGGUGGGGUAAAGGCUCACCUAUGCGACGUUCCCUAGCUGGUCUGAGAGGAGGACCAGCCACACUGGAACGGAGACACGGUCCAGACUCGUACGGGAGGCAGCAGUGGGGAAUAUUGCACAAUGGGGGCAAUCCUGAUGCAGCCAUGCCGCGUGAAUGAAGAAGGCCUUCGGGUUGUAAAGUACUUUCAGCGGGGAGGCGUUACCCACAGAAGAAGCACCGGCUAACUCCGUGCCAGCAGCCGCGGUAAUUC
This 406-nucleotide ribosomal RNA is filed under the name uncultured bacterium. RNAcentral's name for it is "partial 16S ribosomal RNA". It matches the Rfam family "Bacterial small subunit ribosomal RNA", at positions 30 to 526 of the family's 1533-position model. The record is from RNAcentral.